RNAcentral lists this ribosomal RNA (459 nucleotides) under uncultured bacterium. RNAcentral describes it as "partial 16S ribosomal RNA". It matches the Rfam family "Bacterial small subunit ribosomal RNA", at positions 339 to 795 of the family's 1533-position model. The record is from RNAcentral.
CUACGGGCUGCUCCAGUGAGGAAUAUUGGUCAAUGGGCGCAAGCCUGAACCAGCCAUCCCGCGUGCAGGAAGACGGCGCUAUGCGUUGUAAACUGCUUUUCCAGGGGAAGAAAACCCCCGACGUGUCGGGGUUUGCCGGUACCCUGGGAAUAAGCAUCGGCUAACUCCGUGCCAGCAGCCGCGGUAAUACGGAGGAUGCAAGCGUUAUCCGGAUUUAUUGGGUUUAAAGGGUGCGUAGGCGGAUUAAUAAGUCAGUGGUGAAAACCUGCAGCUUAACUGUAGAACUGCCAUUGAUACUGUUAGUCUUGAGUACGGUCAAGGUAGGCGGAAUGUGUAAUGUAGCGGUGAAAUGCUUAGAUAUUACACAGAACACCGAUUGCGAAGGCAGCUUACUGGGCCAUUACUGACGCUGAGGCACGAAAGCGUGGGUAGCGAACAGGAUUAGAUACCCGGGUAGUC